GAUGAACGCUAGCUACAGGCUUAACACAUGCAAGUCGAGGGGCAGCAUGAAAGUUUGCUUGCAAACUUUUGAUGGCGACCGGCGCACGGGUGAGUAACACGUAUCCAACCUGCCUCAUACUCGGGGAUAGCCUUUCGAAAGAAAGAUUAAUACCCGAUGUCAUAGUCCUACCGCAUGAUGGGAUUAUUAAAGAAUUUCGGUAUGGGAUGGGGAUGCGUUCCAUUAGUUAGUUGGCGGGGUAACGGCCCACCAAGGCAUCGAUGGAUAGGGGUUCUGAGAGGAAGGUCCCCCACAUUGGAACUGAGACACGGUCCAA
This 316-nucleotide ribosomal RNA is filed under the name uncultured bacterium. RNAcentral's name for it is "bacterial SSU rRNA". It matches the Rfam family "Bacterial small subunit ribosomal RNA", at positions 28 to 334 of the family's 1533-position model. The record is from RNAcentral.